RNAcentral lists this ribosomal RNA (629 nucleotides) under uncultured bacterium. RNAcentral's name for it is "bacterial SSU rRNA". It matches the Rfam family "Bacterial small subunit ribosomal RNA", at positions 57 to 712 of the family's 1533-position model. The record is from RNAcentral.
GCAAGUCGAACGAGGUAGCAAUACCUAGUGGCGCACGGGUGAGUAACGCGUGGAUAAUCUGCCCUUCACUGGGGAAUAACUAAUCGAAAGGUUAGCUGAUACCGCAUGAGGCCACAGUUUCUGAGGAAGCAGUGGUUAAAGAUUUAUUGGUGAAGGAUGAGUCUGCGUGGGAUUAGCUAGUUGGUGAGGUAAUGGCUCACCAAGGCUACGAUCUCUAACAGGUCUGAGAGGAUGACCUGUCACACUGGAACUGAGACACGGUCCAGACUCCUACGGGAGGCAGCAGUAGGGAAUAUUGCGCAAUGGACGAAAGUCUGACGCAGCGACGCCGCGUGAGUGAUGAAGGCCUUAGGGUCGUAAAGCUCUGUUGCAGGGGAAGAAAAAAAUGACGGUACCCUGCGAGAAAGGAUCGGCUAACUUCGUGCCAGCAGCCGCGGUAAGACGAGGGAUCCUAGCGUUGUUCGGAAUCAUUGGGCGUAAAGCGCAUGUAGGCUGCCAUUCAAGUCAGUUGUGAAAGCCCCGGGCUCAACCCGGGAAGUGCUUCUGAUACUGUUUGGCUUGAGUACUAGAGAGGAUAGUAGAAUUCCAGGUGUAGUGGUGAAAUACGUAGAUAUCUGGAGGAAUACCGG